This 2180-nucleotide long non-coding RNA is filed under the name Mus musculus (house mouse). RNAcentral's name for it is "RIKEN cDNA 2610020C07 gene". Lineage: Eukaryota; Metazoa; Chordata; Mammalia; Rodentia; Muridae. The record is from RNAcentral.
GUCAUUUCCGGCGAGGCGCGAAAUUAGAUGUUGGGCCCGCCCUCUUGGGUAGAUGGUGUUGCGGUCGUAGACUGUGCCCAGAGUUAUUCUAGCGGCAGCAUCUCCUUUGCCUCCGACUCUUUCUAAGGCUGCAGGCCUGAAAAACCCUGUCGCUCCUUCCGGAGGACACCGAGCGAGCGCCCUAAGGAGAGACUAAAGCCCUCUCUUCAAUCCCGUGCUGUCUUCUGCAGAGCGGGAAGCCGUGGCUCCUCCAUUCCUUUCUGGCUUCAGGCGUCGGUUUCCCCAAAUUGGUGGUAUUCCCAGGAAAUAAAGAGAAACUGCCAACGCUAGGCGCGGGAUGCUGCGCGAGAAACGAAAAAAUGAGUCGGUCUCUCAGGAGCUUCGGCCCAGGUAUGAAUAUGCAGCACCGCAUUAUACCCUGGGCAGAUGAUGGACUUGUGCUCUAUAAUCACUAUCUGUCAAAAUAAAAACAAAAGAAAAGCCUCAGAACUAUCUUCAAUGCUCUAAAGUAUACUGUAGCUGUCUUCAGACAAUCCAGAAGAGCUCGUUACAGAUGACUGUGAGCCAUCAUGUGGUUGCUGAGGUUUGAACUCAGGACGACCUUCAGGAGCAGCCGGUGCUCUUAACCGCUGAAUCAUCUCUCCAGCCCCUACCUGGUAAAUUUUUACAGCAUCUUGGAACUGUGAGAUACUAUAGUUGUAAUGUACAAAUGAGUCCCUCUGAUACAGGUCAUGUGGCAUGUCACAAAUACUCAGGACAAAGGCACUGAAAUUAAGUUUUAACAACCAUGAAGAUGAUCUUUACCUGAGCAUCAAAUGUGCGUCCAGAAUGACAAAGAUUAUUAAGAUCACAAAGGAUGAAUCCUGGAAGAAUCUCUUCCUCUUCAAUUCCUUUCAGUCUGAUUUUGAGGUUUUCACCUGGAGCUACAGAGUCCGUUUCUACAUCAUCAGAAAGUAUUCCAAGAACUUCCACGUUGUGCUUAAAAAGAAACCAAAGUUGGAAGUUUUCUGACACAUGCACAUUUUAUAAGAUAUAAAAUUACCUUGAUGCUUAUUAAGAAGCUACAAAUCUAAAAGUCAAAAUAAAGAUAAAAUAUUUUAGCCAGAAAUAAACUUUUGAGGAAAAGAAAGGGGGUCAAUCUUGGCUUGUCAGACAAGCACUCUGCCGCCUGCUGCGGUUGCAGAUGUCACAAUUUGUUGUUUUUAAACAACACAUUCUAACAACUUCUAAGUAGAAUACAGAACAAACUUCAUUUUCAGAAUGAAACCAUUGUAAUGAUUAGUACUGUCAACCUGACAAGAUCUAGAAUCACUAAGAGGUAAAUGCCCAGGUGCACCUGUGAGGGUCAGUCCCUGGGCACGCUUGCACACAAUUCCCUUAAGCUAACUGAUGUGGGAAGAAUCCGCUUUACUGUGGCCGAGGUCAUUCUGAGCUGGGAGAAAGUGAGCGGAGCGCUAGUGUUUAUCCUCCUCUGUUCACAAAUGCAUUGUGAUAGAUCAGUGCCUUCGAACUUCUGUGGCUUUGACUUUCCUGCCUUGAUGGACUGUACCCUUUAACUAAGAAGAGCUGAAAUAAAGCCUUGGUCCUUUGAGUUGCUUCGCUCAGCUCCCCAAAACUAUUGAUUUUAAGCAUGAGUGUUUUACCCACAUGUGUGCCUGGUGCCUGAAAGGUCAGAAGUGGUAACAUCAGAUGCCCUGGAACUGGAGAGAUGUUUCACUGGGAGCCACUGUGUCACUGUUGGGAAAUGAACCCAGGUCGUCAGCAAGAGCAAGAAAGAGCUCCUUAACCACUAAACCAUCUCUCCAGCCUCAUUGCUUUGGUUUUAGAAAAUUACUUUCAUUUAUAUAUAGGUGUGUGCUCAUCUCUGUGUGAAGAGUGCCGUGUAUUGCAUGAAUCAAGUUCCCUUUAAGAGCUGAGUCACCUCUCCAGCCUCUUCCUUGAGUUGUUUCUCUCAGAGUAUUUUAUCAACCACAGGAAACUAAGACAAACAUCAAAUUUAAUAACUGGAUUUUUAACUCUCUUAAAUUUAAAUUUCAGAAUUCAAGAAUUUUUCCCCCACAGCAGGUCAAUCCUCAAUUAAGGAGGUAUUUACCUAGAAAGCAUUAAAAACAUCAAUUUGUUUCUUGGUAUAAUUUUAUAAUACAUCAAAUAAAAAUCAUCAAAUCUAGCUUUAAACCCAU